Molecule: ribosomal RNA, 238 nt
Filed under: uncultured bacterium
Lineage: Bacteria
Description: partial 16S ribosomal RNA
Rfam family: Bacterial small subunit ribosomal RNA
Source: RNAcentral
AAUCCUGGCUCAGGACGAACGCUGGCGGCGUGCUUAACACAUGCAAGUCGAACGGAACACCCUUGAAUGAGGUUUCGGCCAAAGGAAAGGAAUGCUUAGUGGCGGACUGGUGAGUAACGCGUGAGGAACCUGCCUUUCAGAGGGGGACAACAGCUGGAAACGGCUGCUAAUACCGCAUGACGCAUUCGGAUGGCAUCAUCUGAAUGCUAAAGAUUUAUCGCUGAAAGAUGGCCUCGCG